GACGAACGCUGGCGGCGUGCCUAAUACAUGCAAGUAGAACGCUGAAGAGAGGAGCUUGCUCUUCUUGGAUGAGUUGCGAACGGGUGAGUAACGCGUAGGUAACCUGCCUUGUAGCGGGGGAUAACUAUUGGAAACGAUAGCUAAUACCGCAUAACAAUGGGUGACACAUGUCAUUUAUUUGAAAGGGGCAAUUGCUCCACUACAAGAUGGACCUGCGUUGUAUUAGCUAGUAGGUGAGGUAACGGCUCACCUAGGCGACGAUACAUAGCCGACCUGAGAGGGUGAUCGGCCACACUGGGACUGAGACACGGCCCAGACUCCUACGGGAGGCAGCAUUAGGGAAUCUUCGGCGAUGGGGGCAACCCUGACCGAGCAACGCCGCGUGAGAGAAGAAGGUUUUCGGAUCGCACAGCUUUGUUGUAAGUCAAGAACGAGUGUGAGAGUGGAAAGUUCACACUGUGACAGUAGCUUACCCCAAAGGGACGGCUAACUACGUGCCAGCAUCCGCGGUGAAACGUAGGUCCUGAGCUCUUUUGUUGAUUUAUUGGGCGUUAAAG
RNAcentral lists this ribosomal RNA (557 nucleotides) under uncultured Streptococcus sp. Its description in RNAcentral is "bacterial SSU rRNA". It matches the Rfam family "Bacterial small subunit ribosomal RNA", at positions 28 to 566 of the family's 1533-position model. The record is from RNAcentral. Lineage: Bacteria; Bacillati; Bacillota; Bacilli; Lactobacillales; Streptococcaceae.